RNAcentral lists this ribosomal RNA (265 nucleotides) under uncultured bacterium. RNAcentral's name for it is "partial 16S ribosomal RNA". The record is from RNAcentral.
CUGCUGCCUUCCGUAGGAGUCUGGUCCGUGUCUCAGUACCAGUGUGGGGGACCUUCCUCUCAGAACCCCUAGACAUCGUCGCCUUGGUGGGCCGUUACCCGCCAACAAGCUAAUGUCACGCAUGCCCAUCCGUCUCCGGAGUCGCCUCCUUUGGCCGAAAGAAGAUGCCUCCCCUCGGCCACAUGCGGUAUUAGGCCGGAUUUCUCCGGGUUAUCCCGCUGAAACGGGCAGGUUGCAUACGCGUUACUCACCCGUGCGCCGGUCG